This 665-nucleotide ribosomal RNA is filed under the name uncultured beta proteobacterium. RNAcentral describes it as "bacterial SSU rRNA". It matches the Rfam family "Bacterial small subunit ribosomal RNA", at positions 817 to 1482 of the family's 1533-position model. Lineage: Bacteria; Pseudomonadati; Pseudomonadota; Betaproteobacteria. The record is from RNAcentral.
UAGUUGUCGGGUCUUAACGGGCUUGGUAACGUAGCUAACGCGUGAAGUUGACCGCCUGGGGAGUACGGUCGCAAGAUUAAAACUCAAAGGAAUUGACGGGGACCCGCACAAGCGGUGGAUUAUGUGGAUUAAUUCGAUGCAACGCGAAAAACCUUACCUACCCUUGACAUGUACCGAAGCUCGCUGAGAGGUGAGCGUGCCCGAAAGGGAACGGUAACACAGGUGCUGCAUGGCUGUCGUCAGCUCGUGUCGUGAGAUGUUGGGUUAAGUCCCGCAACGAGCGCAACCCUUGUCAUUAAUUGCCAUCAUUCAGUUGGGCACUUUAAUGAAACUGCCGGUGACAAACCGGAGGAAGGUGGGGAUGACGUCAAGUCCUCAUGGCCCUUAUGGGUAGGGCUUCACACGUAAUACAAUGGCGCGUACAGAGGGUUGCCAACCCGCGAGGGGGAGCUAAUCUCAGAAAGCGCGUCGUAGUCCGGAUCGGAGUCUGCAACUCGACUCCGUGAAGUCGGAAUCGCUAGUAAUCGCGGAUCAGCAUGUCGCGGUGAAUACGUUCCCGGGUCUUGUACACACCGCCCGUCACACCAUGGGAGUGGGUUUCACCAGAAGCAGGUAGUCUAACCGCAAGGAGGGCGCUUGCCACGGAGAGAUUCAUGACUGGGGUG